This 484-nucleotide ribosomal RNA is filed under the name uncultured bacterium. RNAcentral describes it as "partial 16S ribosomal RNA". It matches the Rfam family "Bacterial small subunit ribosomal RNA", at positions 30 to 507 of the family's 1533-position model. The record is from RNAcentral.
AUUGAACGCUGGCGGCAUGCCUUACACAUGCAAGUCGAACGGCAGCGCGGACUUCGGUCUGGCGGCGAGUGGCGAACGGGUGAGUAAUACAUCGGAACGUACCCUGUUGUGGGGGAUAACUAGUCGAGAGAUUAGCUAAUACCGCAUACGACCUGAGGGUGAAAGUGGGGGACCGCAAGGCCUCACGCAGCAGGAGCGGCCGAUGUCUGAUUAGCUAGUUGGUGGGGUAAAGGCCCACCAAGGCGACGAUCAGUAGCUAGUCUGAGAGGACGAUCAGCCACACUGGGACUGAGACACGGCCCAGACUCCUACGGGAGGCAGCAGUGGGGAAUUUUGGACAAUGGGGGCAACCCUGAUCCAGCAAUGCCGCGUGUGUGAAGAAGGCCUUCGGGUUGUAAAGCACUUUUGUCCGGAAAGAAAUCGCGCUGGUUAAUACCUGGCGUGGAUGACGGUACCGGAAGAAUAAGCACCGGCUAACUACGUG